RNAcentral lists this unclassified non-coding RNA (307 nucleotides) under plant metagenome. RNAcentral's name for it is "partial contains 5.8S ribosomal RNA, internal transcribed spacer 2, and large subunit ribosomal RNA". The stretch from base 1 to 105 matches the Rfam family "5.8S ribosomal RNA", at positions 50 to 154 of the family's 154-position model. The record is from RNAcentral.
GAAAUGCGAUAAGUAGUGUGAAUUGCAGAAUUCAGUGAAUCAUCGAAUCUUUGAACGCACAUUGCGCCCCUUGGUAUUCCAUGGGGCAUGCCUGUUCGAGCGUCAUUUGUACCUUCAAGCUUUGCUUGGUGUUGGGUGUUUGUCUCGCCUCUGCGUGUAGACUCGCCUCAAAACAAUUGGCAGCGGCCCUUGCCUCCCUCUCGCGCAGCACAUUGCGCUUCUCGAGGCGCGGCGGACCGCGUCCAGCAAGCAACCGUCACACCGUCUUUGACCUCGGAUCAGGUAGGGAUACCCGCUGAACUUAAGC